This 98-nucleotide microRNA precursor is filed under the name Vitis vinifera (wine grape). RNAcentral's name for it is "MIR2275 microRNA precursor family". It matches the Rfam family "MIR2275 microRNA precursor family". Lineage: Eukaryota; Viridiplantae; Streptophyta; Magnoliopsida; Vitales; Vitaceae. The record is from Rfam by way of RNAcentral.
AAGCAGCACGUGAGAAUUGGAGGAAAUUAAUCCCAUUAGCAUUAGCAUUGUCAACACAGUAGUGGGUUUAAUUUCCUCCAAUAUCUCAUCUGCUGUUU